This 585-nucleotide long non-coding RNA is filed under the name Chinchilla lanigera (long-tailed chinchilla). Its description in RNAcentral is "lncRNA (ENSCLAG00000022521.1)". The record is from RNAcentral. Lineage: Eukaryota; Metazoa; Chordata; Mammalia; Rodentia; Chinchillidae.
CAAUUCUACACGGAAAGGCACCAUUCUCCAUGAUGCUCAUGGCUCCCAGUGCUCAGCCCUGUGUUUUCUAGGCAUACCUCGUUGGACUCCAUGGUUUCUGUUACUUGUGGGUUUCUUCCUGCAUUGCUUGAACUUGACUCAGUGCAUUUGCUGAGCAGGCCACCAACUGUUGGCAUGUGCAUACCAUCUAGUACCCAAAAUACUUCGAGAAAUGCUUCUUCUCUCCAGUUUGAAUCAUGUGAGUUGAGUAAGACCACAGAAGAAUCCGUUCCUGAAAUGUAGGACUUGGGAGAGAGAGCAUGAUGCCGGUCCUUUCUGGAGGCAGACAAUUCAAGUCACAUCCUUUGUUGGGUUUCUGAGUUUGAUUUUGACUGAAGAGUUCUUCCACGUUGCUGCUGCUUCCACCGCUGCUGCUGCUGCUGCUGCUGCUACCGCCGCUACCAGGAGAUAGAAGGAAAUUAUUUGUCACAAACCAGUAAGCUAUAGUCGUGUUUCAUUGGCUCCAAAUGAUGGUUUAAGUGCUUCAAAAAUAUGAAACCAACAUUUUAAAAACCAGACAAUUUCACAUCCACAAUUAGAAAAACC